This 230-nucleotide unclassified non-coding RNA is filed under the name Hevea brasiliensis (rubber tree). Lineage: Eukaryota; Viridiplantae; Streptophyta; Magnoliopsida; Malpighiales; Euphorbiaceae. The record is from RNAcentral.
CGUCUUCUUAUAAUCCUUCUCAAGCUUUUACGGUUUUUUGCAAUCGUUGCGUUUUUCCUCAAAGAUUGUGUAAAACAUGUAAAUUAAAAUUAUCGGUUUUGUUCUUCAUCGUCUUCUUAUAAUCCUUCUCAAGCUUUUGGGGCAUCCUCGUUUUCUUCCUUCCAAUUUGUAUUGUGAUUAUUUUUCAUCGUUGAUUGAUAAAUUGGAAGGAAGAAAACGAGGAUGCCCCA